GACCUCAGAUCAGGCAAGGAUACCCGCUGAACUUAAGCAUAUCAAUAAGCGGAGGAAAAGAAACUAACAAGGAUUCCCUUAGUAACGGCGAGUGAAGCGGGAAUAGCUCAAAUUUUAAAUCUGGCUGGUCUCUGAUCGGUCCGAAUUGUAAUUUCAAGAAGCGUUAUCGGCGAACGGCCCUGGUGUAAGUCCUUUGGAACGAGGCAUCAUGGAGGGUGAGAAUCCCGUAUGCAAUCGGGGCCGGAUCGCGUCCGUUGCGCUCUCAAAGAGUCGAGUUGUUUGGGAUUGCAGCUCUAAAUGGGUGGUAAAUUCCAUCUAAGGCUAAAUAUGGGCGAGAGACCGAUAGCGAACAAGUACCGUGAGGGAAAGAUGAAAAGCACUUUGAAAAGAGAGUCAAACAGUACGUGAAAUUGUUGAAAGGGAAACGAUUGAAGCCAGUCGUGCCGGCGUGAAAUCAGCCUCGUGGUCUGGGAUCGGUUCGUCCGGGAUCAGAAAAUUAGGUGCACUUUCUCGCAUGGCAGGUUAGCAUCAGUUUGAUGCGUCGGAUAAAGAUAUAGGAAAUGUGGCUCUCUUUCACGAGUGAGUGUUAUAGUCCUAUGUUCAUACGAUGUGUCGGACUGAGGAAUGCAGCGAAUGCCUCACUUUAAUCCGGUAGGGCUAACUGCCUAUCCUCUGGCGGUCGGCGGUUCGGAUGACAUUUAGGUGAUAUUCGGAACGUUUCGACACCAAAAGGGUAGUCGCAUGUAUACAAUUCGCUAAGGAUGCUGACGUAAUGGCUUUAAACGACCCGUCUUGAAACACGGACCAAGGAGUCUAACAUACGUGCGAGUGUUUGGGUGUUAAACCCAUGCGCGAAAUGAAAGUGAACGUGGGUGGGAACCCUCUUUAUUGAUGGGCGCACCAUCGACCGAUCUGGAUAUUCUUUGAUAGAUUUGAGUUAGAGCAUGUCUGUUGGGACCCGAAAGAUGGUGAACUAUGCCUGAAUAGGGUGAAGCCAGAGGAAACUCUGGU
Molecule: ribosomal RNA, 1011 nt
Filed under: Geosiphon pyriformis
Lineage: Eukaryota; Fungi; Glomeromycota; Glomeromycetes; Archaeosporales; Geosiphonaceae
Description: eukaryotic LSU rRNA
Rfam family: Eukaryotic large subunit ribosomal RNA
Source: RNAcentral